GAGCCGGUGAUGAUCAGCAGUGGCAGCGGUCUGUGAAGUGUUGAAGGCAUUGGAAACAGGUCCUGUUGAACUGCCAUCACACAAAGAUGAAGCCUUACCAAGCCAGGCCAACUCGCAAGUCAUUGCUGUGCUCCGUGUAAUUGAGGGAGGAAGUGGCCAUGACUCCACCAGCUGAACUCUGGAAUAUCAUCAGGAGAAUGUUGGUACCCGGGAUUGCGGGCUGUAGCCAAGAGAGUGCUUGGCUCCUGUAGAGAGUGCGUCAUCGCAUAAAAACCCCUUCUGAGACGACCACCACCCCCCUCCUGAUUAUUUAAACCAGAAUAUCAUACCCAUUCACUAAUGUUGCAAUAGAUCGCACUGGUCCUAUUUGUAUGGAAGGAGGGAUAGGAUACCUGUUGAUAGUCACUUGCAUGGGCAACUGUGCAGUCUACCUCGAUUACUGUCGCAGUCUCGACGCGGACACUUUCAUCUUAAUGUUUCAAAGGCUUGCAGCCACCCACAGGACACCAUCCAGUGUACAGGUUUAAUGUCAUGACGUUCAGUGCUGCUAGUAGCUUCCUGAAGGACUUUUAUGAUAAGGAUGUUACCCAGAAAUUCCUUUGGAAAAGAGGAAUUGAGUGGAUCUUCCAGACACCAAGGUCCCCAUGGAAAGUUUUUUUUUAACAAUUGAUUGGCGUAGUGAAGCGAACCCUGGAUACAACUUUAAGAAGAAAAAAUGUUUCAUGAUGAACACAUCCACACCUUAAUAAAGGAAGCAGAGGCUGUCAUUAAUAACCGGCCAUUGAUGUAUACGGGAGAUACCAGAGAGGAUGAGGUCCUCACUCCUUCACACUUAAUUUAAGGUGAUCUGGUGUAUCUGUUAGACUUUAACUACAAAGCAGCUGCGUCCCCAGUAUGUUCACCUCACUGAGGCACUAGGACAUUUCAAACAACGUUGGCAACAAGGCUACCUGAGUUCGCUACAAGAGUGACAUGACUUCCAGGUGGGACCUGCAACAGCGCUGCAAGUAGGAGACAUCACAUUGGUCAAGUUAGAACAGCACAAACGUAACUAAUGGCCUCUAGGUAAAAUCGAAGUAGUCUACCACGACAAACAGGGAGUUAUGAGGUCUGUUAAGGUUCUCUACGAGGGCAAGGAAAAUCUAAGGGCCAUCACACACACAGUACCACUUGAGGUGAAUGCACAUGAUGACAAUGCAGCAGGGAGGACAAAGACAAAGCAGCAGUUGUACGAGAUGAUGAUGGAACCAGGUUAGAGGAAACUGCACAAUUUGUUGAAUGAAAGUGAAAGUAGUGUUUCUCGACAGACUGACGAACUUGAGUUGAAUGAAGUAGAGCGGAAAAACGUUCAAAAUAAGCAAUCAGAGUUGGUAGUGAAUGAAAGUGUAAGAACGCAAACAAGGGUUAAUGUUGCCCAAAGCCAAAAGAUGUCGGAGUGGGUAAAAAACAAUGAAGUUUAAAAUGUCCAGUGUUUAUGUGUAAUUCAGGGGUGAACUCUGGAGGACUGGUGUCUAGUAGGGAGUUGAAGCAAAAGGAUUUUUCAGUUUACAUUGUCAAUCAGGUAGCUCUUGAGCAUCCAACCUGGGCAGAUCACAGGGCACGUUUUCAUUAUGAUUUCAUAUUUUAUGUCCCUUUGAUGUAAUGUCUAUUAUUGAAAGUGAUCACUCUGGUAUUUCAUUGAAUUUUUUGUCAUGAGCUACCCUCGCCUCAUAGCGUUGCGGAUGAGGAUAGGCCAUGACCAGGUCCAGACUCUCUGCUUCACCUGGGUAAACCUUCCCAUUGCUGUCAGGUUCCUCCAGAUUUUCUGUGAUGGAGGAUGUCGUGAAAAAUAUGAGCUCAAUUUUUCUUGGCAAAAUAUUUACCUAUGUUCUUGACUUAGCAAGGGAAGAAGUCAGACAGCAGGGCAACUGGUUCCCUUUAUGUUUGGUUAACUAUGUGUAAUGUAUCCAUAUGGGGCUGGUGAAUUCCACUAACUGUUGUUAGUAAUAACUGAAUAUGAUUUUAAACCACAUUGGUCAUAAUUCUGGCAAAAUAAACUCAUAUUUUAGAGUCACUGGAUUACAAAAAAACAAAUUGCACGAGGCUUGAGGAGUGAAAUUCUGCCUUCCCCUCAUAGCCGUCAUUCAGGAAGGACAUUCCACCCGAGUUCAUAGCCAGAAUAGUGUUGCUCACUGUAAUGUAAACAUUUCUCAUUAGCUCGUCUGUAUCAGUCAGGGCUUGUUUUCAUCAACGGUAUUUGAACAACAUUAGUGAAGCUGUUAGUGUAAUUUACUUUUUAUACCUUAUCGAUCUUAUCAAAUUUUUCAUGAGCCAAUUCAUUUUUCCUUUGAAUUCAUUCCAUAUAAAUAAUGACUUUCAUUUGAUUUAGUGUUACAGUAG
Long non-coding RNA from Macrobrachium nipponense, 2379 nucleotides. RefSeq lists it as uncharacterized. The record is from RefSeq and is a predicted model, not a curated record. Lineage: Eukaryota; Metazoa; Arthropoda; Malacostraca; Decapoda; Palaemonidae. The transcript has 3 exons.